Molecule: ribosomal RNA, 423 nt
Filed under: uncultured bacterium
Lineage: Bacteria
Description: bacterial SSU rRNA
Rfam family: Bacterial small subunit ribosomal RNA
Source: RNAcentral
UAAGGAAUAUUGGACAAUGGUCGCAAGACUGAUCCAGCCAUGCCGCGUGCAGGAUGAAGGCCCUAUGGGUUGUAAACUGCUUUUGUACGAGAAAAAACCUCUUUACGUGUAAAGAGCUGAUUGUAUCGUAAGAAUAAGGAUCGGCUAACUCCGUGCCAGCAGCCGCGGUAAUACGGAGGAUCCAAGCGUUAUCCGGAUUUAUUGGGUUUAAAGGGUGCGUAGGCGGAAUGAUAAGUCAGUGGUGAAAGCCUGCAGCUUAACUGUAGAAUUGCCGUUGAUACUGUUGUUCUUGAGUAUAUUUGAUGUGGGCGGAAUGUGUCAUGUAGCGGUGAAAUGCUUAGAUAUGACACAGAACACCGAUUGCGAAGGCAGCUCACAAAACUAUAACUGACGCUGAGGCGCGAAAGCGUGGGGAUCAAACAG